GGUGGGCAUUGUGGCGGGCGCCUGUAAUCCCAGCUACCUGGGAGGCUGAGGCAGGAGACUCACUUGAGCCCAGGAGUUGGAGGUUGCUGUGAGCUGUGAUGCCAUGGCACUCUACCCAGGGGGAUAGCUUGAGGCUCUGUCUCAAAAAAAAAAAAAAAGACAGAGUCCCACCAUGUCACCCUUGGUAGAGUGCUGUGGCAUCACAGCUCACAGCAACCUCAAACUCCUAAGCGAUUCUCUUGCCU
Molecule: small RNA, 245 nt
Filed under: Otolemur garnettii (small-eared galago)
Lineage: Eukaryota; Metazoa; Chordata; Mammalia; Primates; Galagidae
Description: Metazoan signal recognition particle RNA (ENSOGAG00000033124.1)
Source: RNAcentral